GAUAAUGCUGUGAAGAAUCGGUUCACUACACUGUGCAAAAAGAGAGCAAAGCAUGAAGCUUUGGCUAAAGAAAACAGCAAUUCAUUCAUUAACCUGAAUAACAAGAGGGUUAUAUUUCCAGAUGGUAUCAAAGUUGACAACAUAGCUGAAGCUGCUGGUCCUAUUAAAAAGCUGAGGCGGAGCGACAUUUCAGAUGUCCUUCAAAUUGGUAACAGCAGAGAAAAAUCUGAUGGUGAUUGUGGAACUACUGCACAUCCAUUGCUGAGACAUCCAUUUGCGGUACUAGCUCAAAACCUGCAUAACACUGGGGAAAGUUUGGUAUCUCAUCAGACGACAACUGAAAAUGCUAGUGACAACAGAACUCAAGGAACAUUCCUUAAACAAGAUGAUCCAAAGAAACAGGCUUUGAUGCAACAAGCAGAGCUGCUAAGCUCACUAGCAAUGAAAGUUAAUACAGAAAAUACAGAUCAAAGCCUUGAAAGUGCUUGGAAGAUACUCCAAGAUUUUCUUCAACAAACAAAGGAUGGUGAUACACUCAAGUUCCAGCUACCUGAGAUGAAUUUUGAACCUGAUGAUUAUAAGAACCUGAUAGCAGAUUCAAGAAGCAGUAAUGAAGGCAGUCGACCAUCUUGGAGGCAACCUGCUUUAUCUGAAGAUUCUGCUGGCAGCUCUGAGUAUAGUACGGGAUCAACUUUGCUAUGCCAUGCACUGGCUGAUAAAACAGAAGAAAGCCAAGCUGAGGUGUGUGCACAGCAUCAGGAUAUUGAAUCUGAAUUACGAACUUCUCAGAUGAGUGAUCAAGGGGGGCUUCAUGAAUUAGAAAAUGGAACCUCCUGCCACAUAGCAACCACUCGAGAUACUUUGCCAGUUUGUGAUGAAGAAAAAGCAAAUAAUGGACCAGCUACAGCUGAAUGUGACUUUCUGAAUACAGAUUUCAGUUCUCCUCUUCAAGUUACUCCACUGUUCAGAUCUUUAGCUGCAGAAAUUCCCACUCCAAAGUUUUCAGAAAGUGAGAGGCAGUUCCUAUGGAAAACACUUGGAGUGGAGUCCACAUCCAUGCAUCCAGGCACAAAUCUUUCCCAACCUCCAUCGUGCAAAAGAGCCCUCCUCAACAGUCUAUAACCAACUUUACUGAUCAAUCCUUACAAAGAUUCUGCGGGGAGCAGUAUCACCAUAACUUUGAUCAACAGUUCUUCUUAUAUGUAGUUUACUCAAUUUUUGGAGUUCUUUUUGUUUGGAUUGCAGUCUCUAUGACCUAUGUUUUUUUCAAGAGGCCUUGGAAGAUCUGGUCUGCACCCUAGAAUGCAUCGGAGGCAUUCUAGCUUUUUCUCUGGAGAUCUGACAGAUGAUCUGCAUCCGUUUUUGGAGUUUCCAACCUAAUACUCACCAGUAUCUAGUGUGUUAUUUAAUUGUUUCUCAUUCUUUGGUGUGUUGUUGUGGAACUCAAAUGGGGGUAUUUGAUGUUCCAUGAGUUUUCGGCUUUUAAUUAGCCAGCUGUACAGAACAAACAUUGUACUUACAAAUUGGCACCUCGCCAAAGUUCAUAGAGUAUUUACAAGACAGAAAAAAAAGAGAGAAAAGAAAUCAUAGGGAGAGGUAGGAGGAUCAACAAGUCGAAUUGGCCUCCUAUCUAAGUUUCUUUUCAUAUAUUUUGUGUGUAGAUGUUAUAUAAUAAGUCUCUAGGCUGUUCAGAGCUUUUCUCUUUGCCUGAUCUACAUGUAAUGUAAAGCAUACUUUAUUUGAUUUGAGAAUGCUAUAUGGUUCGUGUGUG
This 1771-nucleotide unclassified non-coding RNA is filed under the name Hevea brasiliensis (rubber tree). The record is from RNAcentral. Lineage: Eukaryota; Viridiplantae; Streptophyta; Magnoliopsida; Malpighiales; Euphorbiaceae.